CUCUUAUAUGAUGAAGUCCUUAGGACUUAUGUUAUGAUAAAGGAGGAUUUAUCUUUGAGUCCUUAAACUUAUUCGCGACCAAAUGAUAUGUUGUUAUUAGGACGACAAUAUUAUCGAGAUUAGGUCGUUGUGUGACAUAUACGUUGGUUGUCCUCUUAACCAAGGAGUGUGGAGACAUUGGUAUGCCACACAGGUGAAGUGUAGGAGUACAUUUCACUGAAC
Molecule: long non-coding RNA, 222 nt
Filed under: Phoenix dactylifera (date palm)
Lineage: Eukaryota; Viridiplantae; Streptophyta; Magnoliopsida; Arecales; Arecaceae
Description: long non-coding RNA (PDAC_LNC012488)
Source: RNAcentral